UACAGAGGGUGCGAGCGUUGUUCGGAAUUAUUGGGCGUAAAGGGCGCGUAGGCGGUGCGGUAAGUCACCUGUGAAAUCUCCUGGCUCAACUGGGAGCUUGCAGGCGAAACUGCCGGGCUUGAGUGUGGGAGAGGUGAGUGGAAUUCCUGGUGUAGCGGUGAAAUGCGUAGAUAUCAGGAGGAACACCAAUGGCGAAGGCAGCUCGCUGGGACGUGACUGACGCUGAGACGCGAAAGCGUGGGGAGCAAACAGG
This 253-nucleotide ribosomal RNA is filed under the name uncultured bacterium. Its description in RNAcentral is "partial 16S ribosomal RNA". It matches the Rfam family "Bacterial small subunit ribosomal RNA", at positions 524 to 776 of the family's 1533-position model. The record is from RNAcentral.